AGGGGUGAGAACAAGUUGUUCCCACCCCCGGUACCCAAAAUGCCCACAGUUUAAUGGGUACUCACCUGUUUUACCCGUAAUUUUUUGGGUUUGAAAAGUUGGUAUCCAUAUCCGCAAAUUUGCGGGUAACUUGCGGGCACCCGCGGGUAUGGGUCGAGAUUGCCAGGUCUACUUGGUUGUCUCCAUUUUGUAAGCCUAAUUCAUCUCCCUAAUGAAUGAAGCGGGUAGCGUUUUAUACGCUACCUAUUUCUCAAAAAAAAAAAAAAAAUGAU
This 272-nucleotide long non-coding RNA is filed under the name Ananas comosus (pineapple). Its description in RNAcentral is "long non-coding RNA (ACOM_LNC000009)". Lineage: Eukaryota; Viridiplantae; Streptophyta; Magnoliopsida; Poales; Bromeliaceae. The record is from RNAcentral.